UUGUGUUUCAUGAUUGUGUUACUAUCUGGUGUGAAAAUGAUUAAGAUGCUAACCUAAUUCUUCCUAUCCUGAGAAGAAGCUUGCCAGAUAGUAACACAAUCAUGAAACACAANUUUGAGUGUUAAAAGCUGUGUUCGAUCCUAUUUUAUUAAUAUUUUUAUUUUUAAUGCUGAUUACCAUCCCCCAGUCAUUUUUGUGUCUAUAGAAGUUAUGGUCUGUGGAUCCAUCCGUUGGCUCAUUCAAGCUGUAGUGACUGCUCAUUUUAUUUGUACAUAAAACUGCACUCUGAUGCUUGUUAAAAGAGAGAAUUGUUAAAAAAAAA
RNAcentral lists this unclassified non-coding RNA (322 nucleotides) under Hevea brasiliensis (rubber tree). The record is from RNAcentral. Lineage: Eukaryota; Viridiplantae; Streptophyta; Magnoliopsida; Malpighiales; Euphorbiaceae.